Molecule: transfer RNA, 68 nt
Filed under: Barbodes binotatus (spotted barb)
Lineage: Eukaryota; Metazoa; Chordata; Actinopteri; Cypriniformes; Cyprinidae
Description: tRNA-Tyr
Rfam family: tRNA
About the family: Transfer RNA (tRNA) molecules are approximately 80 nucleotides in length. Their secondary structure includes four short double-helical elements and three loops (D, anti-codon, and T loops). Further hydrogen bonds mediate the characteristic L-shaped molecular structure. tRNAs have two regions of fundamental functional importance: the anti-codon, which is responsible for specific mRNA codon recognition, and the 3' end, to which the tRNAs corresponding amino acid is attached (by aminoacyl-tRNA synthetases). tRNAs cope with the degeneracy of the genetic code in two manners: having more than one tRNA (with a specific anti-codon) for a particular amino acid; and 'wobble' base-pairing, i.e. permitting non-standard base-pairing at the 3rd anti-codon position.
Source: RNAcentral
GGUAGGGUAGCCGAGGUAGGCAGUGGGUUGUAGCCCCAAAGACAGAGGUUUGAGUCCUCUUCCUAUCA